Molecule: transfer RNA, 58 nt
Filed under: Otolemur garnettii (small-eared galago)
Lineage: Eukaryota; Metazoa; Chordata; Mammalia; Primates; Galagidae
Source: Rfam by way of RNAcentral
UGGCUCAGUGAGUAGGGCGCUGGCCCCAUAUGCCAGAGGUGGCGGGUUCAAAUCCAGC